RNAcentral lists this ribosomal RNA (253 nucleotides) under uncultured bacterium. Its description in RNAcentral is "partial 16S ribosomal RNA". It matches the Rfam family "Bacterial small subunit ribosomal RNA", at positions 524 to 776 of the family's 1533-position model. The record is from RNAcentral.
UACGUAGGGCGCAAGCGUUGUCCGGAAUCACUGGGCGUAAAGGGCGCGUAGGCGGCCGAUCAAGUCGGGGGUGAAAGCCUGUGGCUCAACCACAGAAUUGCCUUCGAUACUGUUUGGCUUGAGACCGGAAGAGGUUAGUGGAACUGCGAGUGUAGAGGUGAAAUUCGUAGAUAUUCGCAAGAACACCAGUGGCGAAGGCGGCUGACUGGUCCGGUUCUGACGCUGAGGCGCGAAAGCGUGGGGAGCAAACAGG